CGCUGAUAGAUAGGCAUGCGUUCCAUUAGGCAGUUGGCGGGGUAACGGCCCACCAAACCGACGAUGGAUAGGGGUUCUGAGAGGAAGGUCCCCCACAUUGGUACUGAGACACGGACCAAACUCCUACGGAGGGCAGCAGUGAGGAAUAUUGGUCAAUGGGCGUAAGCCUGAACCAGCCAAGUCGCGUGAGGGAUGAAGGUUCUAUGGAUCGUAAACCUCUUUUAUAAGGGAAUAAAGUGCGGGACGUGUCCCGUUUUGUAUGUACCUUAUGAAUAAGGAUCGGCUAACUCCGUGCCAGCAGCCGCGGUAAUACGGAGGAUCCGAGCGUUAUCCGGAUUUAUUGGGUUUAAAGGGUGCGUAGGCGGCCUUUUAAGUCAGCGGUGAAAGUCUGUGGCUCAACCAUAGAAUUGCCGUUGAAACUGGGAGGCUUGAGUAUGUUUGAGGCAGGCGGAAUGCGUGGUGUAGCGGUGAAAUGCUUAGAUAUCACGCAGAACCCCGAUUGCGAAGGCAGCCUGCCAAGCCAUGACUGACGCUGAUGCACGAAAGCGUGGGGAUCAAACAGGAUUAGAUACCCUGGUAGUCCACGCAGUAAACGAUGAUCACUAGCUGUUUGCGAUACACAGUAA
This 626-nucleotide ribosomal RNA is filed under the name uncultured bacterium. Its description in RNAcentral is "bacterial SSU rRNA". It matches the Rfam family "Bacterial small subunit ribosomal RNA", at positions 216 to 842 of the family's 1533-position model. The record is from RNAcentral.